RNA transcript from Carya illinoinensis, 2542 nucleotides. It is a transcript of the gene named phosphatidylinositol/phosphatidylcholine transfer protein SFH8-like, with no coding region annotated. The transcript is spliced from 16 exons. The record is from RefSeq and is a predicted model, not a curated record. Lineage: Eukaryota; Viridiplantae; Streptophyta; Magnoliopsida; Fagales; Juglandaceae.
UAACGUCUGUUUAGCAUGUACUGCCCUACGGCGUCACCUUGUUAGCGUCUCGGAGUCAUUUUACGCUGAUGAGAAGAAUUAUUCAUUUUCUGCAUAUCGAUAACCUAAAAAGUCUUUGAAUAGUAUUCCUCAAAGAUCGGCACCGUGCUUUGACCUUCCUCGCUCUGACCGAUUAACAACGUAUCGGUCUCAUCUAUCCCGGGUUUUGUCUCAUCGGAUUUUUGUUCUUCAUGCUCUGUUCUGUUUCUGCUUCGACUUAGAAUUCGAAUUCCUUACCCCAUUGCGUUAACAUGUCGGGUCCGCUCGAUCGCUUUGCGAGGCCUUGUUUUGAGGGGUUCUCUGGCCACGACGAAAGAAAAGAACGGAAAUCAGACUUCGAAAACUCGGAGGAUGACAAGAGGACGAGAAUCGGUAGUCUGAAGAAGAAAGCAAUCAGUGCGUCAAGCAAAUUCAGACAUUCUCUUAGGAGGAAGAGCCGGAAGAAGAGUUCUAGUCGAACUAAUUCCGUUUCAAUCGAGGAUGUGCGGGAUCUUGAGGAGCUUCAGGUCGUAGAUUCAUUUCGGCAGGCACUUAUCUUGGACGAAUUGCUUCCUCCGAGACACGAUGAUUACCAUAUGUUGUUGAGAUUCUUGAAAGCAAGAAAGUUUGACAUUGAGAAGGCAAAGCACAUGUGGGCCAACAUGAUUCACUGGAGGAAAGACUUUGGUACAGACACAAUUUUGGAGGAUUUUGAGUUUUCUGAGUUGAACGAAGUUCUACAAUACUACCCUCAGGGUUAUCAUGGCGUAGACAAGGAAGGAAGACCUAUAUACAUUGAGAGACUGGGAAAAAUUGAUCCCAACAAGCUUAUGCAAGUGACAACUAUGGAUCGGUAUGUGAGAUACCAUGUACAGGGGUUUGAACGGAGUUUUGCAAUUAAGUUUCCAGCCUGUUCUAUUGCUGCAAAGAGACACAUUGAUUCAAGUACAACAAUUUUAGAUGUUCAAGGAGUGGGUUUUAAAAACCUAACCAAGUCUGCAAGAGAACUCAUCACACGGCUGCAGAAGAUUGACAAUGACAACUACCCUGAAACGCUUUUUCGAAUGUUUAUAAUUAACGCCGGUCCUGGUUUUAAGCUGCUCUGGAGCACUGUGAAAACUUUUCUUGAUCCCAGAACAACCACAAAGAUUCAUGUUCUUGGCAACAAGUACCAAAGCAAAUUACUUGAAAUAAUUGAUGCAAGUGACUUGCCAGAAUUUCUGGGUGGUAGCUGUACAUGUGCCGACCAGGGAGGAUGUAUGAAAUCAGACAAAGGGCCGUGGAAUGAUCCAAACACAUUGAAGAUGGUUCUUCGCGGUGAAGCACGAUGUUCUAGACAAAUAGUAACUGUUACAAACUGUGAGGGGAAGAUAGUUUCAUCUGAUAAGCCACAUUAUAACAUGAUAAGAAGUAGUGAUGCAUCUACUGCAGAGUCAGGAUCUGAAAUGGAAGAAAUGACCUCACCUAAAGCAAGUAGGAGCUAUUCACAACCAAUGUUGACUCCUGUCCGUGAAGAAGCUAGAAUUGCUGUUAAGGGGAGCAGUGGUGGUGGCGUUUGGGAAUAUGAUGAACACGUUCCCAUGAUUGACAAGGCUGUGGAUGUGGGAUGGAAGAAACAAGUAUCACUUCUAGAGUCAAGUGCGUCUGGAGGGACAUCUUCUUUUCCAAGUAUGGAAAAAGCUCCAGAAAGAAUCCAAACUCAAAUCUGGGCUGCAGUGGUGGCCUUCUUCCUUACCCUCAUUACCCUAUUACGCUCAGUGGCGUUCCAGGAGAAGUGUCAUCCCCCUUCUCCUGCUCCAGGUUUUGCUGAUGCAGCAGACCUUCUCUCAUCUGCUUCGAAAAGGCUGGGCAAGCUUGAGGAGAAAGUAGAUAUGCUGCUGGCAAAGCCAUUUGAGAUGCCUUAUGAGAAAGAGGAGUUGCUGAAUUCUGCUGUUUGUCGUGUGGAUGCGUUGGAGGCUGAGCUUAUUGCAACAAAAAAGUCGCUUGUUAUUUUACCUGGGAUCUCAUAUGAUUCUUCCUGAUUAGGCUUUGCAUGAAGCUUUAAUGAGGCAGGAAGAACUUCUGGCAUACAUAGACAGACAGGAAGAAGCCAAGUUUAGGAAGAAGUCUUGCUGGUGAAAAGGAGGUUCCUGUACAGGAGGAAGUAUGUGGUGGUAGGUUGCAUUGUGUCAAAAAAGUGGCAGCUACUGAUAGGAUCAUAGAAUGUUAUCUGCAACAUUUCGGUUUGGGACGAGGGCUCCAGUGGCUAUUUUAGGGGUAGAGAACUGUGAGGGUUUUGAGAAAGAGGGAAUUGGGCAAUGAAGAUAGAACUCUCUUCAUGUGGCCUGUGCUUGUGACCUUAUUGGGGCCUAAGACUCAUUGAAGGGCCCACUAAAAAUAUGAAACAGAUGUGUUAUGUAAUAUAAUUGGCUAGAUUGAAGGCUGUGUAGCAUAUGCUUCCAUGAUAGCUCACUCUAUCAUAAAAUGGGCUUUUAUGGUGAACUCGGAUCCAUUCCCAAUUAAAUUAUGACUGUUUUUAUUUUUA